Molecule: non-coding RNA, 851 nt
Organism: Hydra vulgaris (swiftwater hydra)
Lineage: Eukaryota; Metazoa; Cnidaria; Hydrozoa; Anthoathecata; Hydridae
Source: RefSeq, a predicted model, not a curated record
GUUCAUUCGAGCUGUUUGGAUAGAAAAUACAGAGAAAUAAAGAGAGAAAAUUUGAUUGAUAAUUUUUUGUGCUGGCCAUCAUGGUUAAAUGUAAUAAAUUGUUUGAAUGAAAUGCAUAAACCACAGUCUAACUAAUGCAGAUUUAAGCAGUUCAAAAUUAAAUGUCAUGGAGAUUUUUUAUAUAAACAUUAAGUUAUUCCUUUUUUCCUUGUUUUUUUAACAUGCUUUCAUAGUGUAUAUGUUAUUUUCAGUGUUUAGAUAUAUUCUUUAUUAUAUAUUCUUUAUUAUAUGAUGUAUUUAAAACAUUUUUAAAUUGAAUGAAUGUUCUUAGAUAAUGAGUUAUGUGAUAAAUUUGAAUUUGCUACUACUAGUGAUAUUCAGAUAGAAUCAGAUUUAGAAAACGGUUAACAAACUUUCUAAAAUUGGAGGUAAAACCAUUAAGACAAAUACAAAUAAAUGUGAUGCAAAGUGUAUGACAGCAUGCAACCUUAAUCAAACUUAUAACCUGACGAAGUGUCUCAUAACUUGUAAAAAUUAUAAUUUGUGUGAACUUGGUUGUUUAUUCUACAAUCAUAUCAAAGAAAAUGACACUGGUUGUUGACCAACGGUUUAUAAUCGAAAUUUAAUAUGGCUGGCGGUAAAGGUAAAGAGAAGUUUAAAGGAACAAACAUUAGAGAGCGUUUUGUCAAUUAAAGGGACUACAGCUACAGUUACCGAAAUAAGAAAGGAAUGACUUUAUUAAAAUACGCACUCGACAGAUCAAAUGGUGGUGAUCGGCGCGUAAAAGGCAGUUCACCCGAUGUAUAACAUUCAUACUUUUUCCUAGUUGUUCUGGAACUAUUGAUAAUAGU